UCCUGUCAGAGGCUUGCCUGCUAGCUGCUAGUGAAGCUGAAGUGAUGGGGAGGGGUUUUGCCCCAGGGCCUAGGGCCUGGAGACUAGGCUGUCUAGCUGGGGAGCUGGCCAUUUACCUCUUGGUCCACUCUGUGCAGUCAGUCUGUGCGUCAGAGAUCCUCUGAGCCUCCUAGGUGCUGGAAAAAUAGACAUGAAGCACCAUGCCCAGACUUACAAUAUUUAUGGGACUUAAUCACAUACAACUUCUCUGAAGUCCUGGGGGUCAAACUCAAGGCCUGAAACAUGCUAGCCACUAAAAAAUACUCGUAUGGCGUUCCAGUUCAACAGGAAAGGAUUAGACCCUAGGGAAGGAAUCUCAAUCUGUGUUCUUGCUGCGCCCAGCUCCUGCUGUGGCACUGCGGUACCCAAUACAGUUGCCAAGAUGGCAGUCUGCAGAAACGCCCACACAAGAAAACUCCAGCGACCAACAACCAGAACCUGGAAAAUACACCCUGGAGAAAGCGCAGACGCCGGCCCCGCCC
Molecule: non-coding RNA, 521 nt
Organism: Myodes glareolus (Bank vole)
Lineage: Eukaryota; Metazoa; Chordata; Mammalia; Rodentia; Cricetidae
Source: RefSeq, a predicted model, not a curated record